Long non-coding RNA from Anguilla rostrata (American eel), 2197 nucleotides. RefSeq lists it as uncharacterized. NCBI's taxonomy places the organism in Eukaryota, Metazoa, Chordata, Actinopteri, Anguilliformes, Anguillidae. The transcript has 2 exons. The record is from RefSeq and is a predicted model, not a curated record.
CUGAGAGGAAUGGACUAAUCCAAUCAGUUUAUUAACAUAAGAGAUAUAGAGAGAACAGAUUUGUAACCACUUCUUGACUGGGCAGCAGUGUAGUAUAAUGGGUAAGGAGCUGGUGUUGUAGCCUGGUCCCAGGUAAGACACUGCCGUUGUACCCUUGAGCAAGGUACUUUACCUGCAUUGCUGAAGUACAUAUCCAGCUGUAUCCAUGGAUGCAAUGUAAGUGCUAUGUAAAAUGUUGUGCAAGUUGCUCUGGAUAAGAGCAUUUUCUAAAUGCUGUAAUGUAAUGAUAAAUGAAUUGUGAAUGAUGCUUGCAUUUGUGAAAUUGUGUGGCAUUAUCUCUGGAUGGAGCAAACCCCAUUAUGAUAUUUCACAAGAGAAAAAAUGGCAUGACUCGAUUUCUCGAUUUGUUUUGUUGCCUUCAAAAGGCUCAAAAGUAAACAACUGAUUCAGGAGCUAAAACAGUUCGAUAAAAAUGUCAUGUAUCCACCAUGUCAAAUUGCCUAAAACUGACGUAUAUCCUGACGUUCUCAGGGUACAAUAGAACACCUUUUUAACGUGAAGCUUUUCCGUACAUACUCGUCAUAUAAUUACGUAAGAGGCCUGUGCAUUGAGACCAAUCAAAAAUACAAACCAGUUUGAAUACACGUUCAAAAGACAAACUUUAAUACAGGUUCAUUCAUUGGGUUUCAGAAAAAGUUCAUUAGGAACGUUUUCUGUGAAUGUCAAAGAUGCAUGCCCUGUUCAGGAUCUUCAUCAAAUGAAUCGGCAAACCUCUGGUCUUCUCGUCCCUCCAGACUGGCGAUCUGGAAGGCAUGGAGAGGCCCACGUCAUUCUUGGCGCAGACUCUGAAGUAGUACUCCUGGCCGGGGACGAUGUUGCAGACGGUGCACUUGUUGUUGAAGAGGCGGUCGGCCACGGUCUCCCAGGCCCGCUUGACCGGGUCGCGCUUGGCCACCGCGUAGUGGAGCCGGUCGUCGCGCUUCUCGUCCGGGGACGGUGUCCAUGAUAACGUCACGGUGCCGGCCACGUUCUGCUCCAGCUCCACGGGCCCCGGGGGUUUGGGCUCAUCUGGAACCAGGUCAGAAACGCGAUCUCUCACUCACCCCACAAUCUCUCCCGCUCUCUCCGUCUCCCUGAGUCACGGGGCGAGAUCUGAACCGCCUAGCGCGAAGCCGUCAGCUUUUGGAUCUAAUGCAGCGGAUAGGCCUAACACACGUACCCAGGCUUCCCAGAGUUAUCGCCGCUCAGCUGUCUGAUAUUGCAAGGCCUCACUGCAAUAUCAGGCCUCAGUGCCUUAUCUCUUUAUUUCCUUAUUGGGAAUGUUAGUGGCUGACAUUCGUCUCUGUCCCUGAAAUCAUGACUGACAUUCGUUUGUCCCUGAAAUCAUGACUGACAUGUGUCUGUCUCUGAAAUCAUGACUGACCUGUGUCUGUCCCUGAAAUCAUUACUGACAUGCGUCUGUCCCUGAAAUCAUGACUGACAUGUUUCUGUCCCUGAAAUCAUGCUUGACUGUGUCUGUACCUGAAAUCAUGACUCGCAUUCAUUUGUCCCUGAAAUCAAAGGCUGUGAAACUUUAAAGGGGACAGGACGUUACCUGUGACUCUGAUCUCAAUGCUGAAGGUUUCCUGGCCGACUAUGUUCUUGACGAUGAUGGUGUAGACGCCUGUGUCAGAAUGCUCCGAUGUGGGAAUCAGGAGCAGGGAUCCUCUCUCCGUAUUGCUAACGGUUAUCCGUUUGGACACGGGCAUCCCGUCCUUCAGCCAAAUUAUGUCUGGCAUCGGGGAGGCCUGUGCACAAAAAUUCACUCGCACUGAACAAAUGUUAAAAUAUUCAAAAAAGAAACUAAAGAAAACUUUGAUUGUUUGAUUGAUUGGUUGGCUGGCUAUCAUUGUUAGACAAGAAUUAAUUUGACCGUAGCAAUGUUGAAAUGUCUUGGUAUCACUUAAAAAGAUGUGUCUUGAAUUUUUCCACACUGCGACAACUACGUGAGGUAAAUUUUUGCAAGUGGUUAGACGAGAGUUGCCGCUGUUUUACCUCAAAGUUGAUUUUGACUCUCACAGAAUUUCCAACUCGGACCACCAUUAAAGUCUCCAUGUUUGAAUCUGUGAACCUUGGCCUCACUGCAAAAAGAAACCGCACAUACUCAGUAAUGGACUGAUCUGAAUUAUAUCCAAUUGUCUGAAUGUCUUGGUUUUUU